ACACCCGCCAGAAUUCAGUUUUGCACCACAGUUAGCACUGAUUUAUGGGAGUCGAAUAGGGUUUUAAGUGGGCUUUAAGCUAAGCUAGCAAUUGGAAUUAGUUUAAGUAGCCGGCGGCAAGUCAACGACCUGCGACAGUGCAGUUCAAAGUCAAAAAGUCAAUUAUACGGAUACCUAAAAAUACAACAGCGGGUGGAGUGAAAAUCUCGUUAAAAGCCAAUAACAGACGCCAUUAAAUGUGCAUGAAAAUUAAAUGAAAACGGCUUGAUGAUGAGGUUGCCUGCGGGAGGAGGAACUCGUAGCAGCCACGCGACCACUUGAACUUGGGCGGGAAUAUCAGUAUUUGUGUGCAGUAAUUCGAACUGACCUCGUCGAGCAUUCAGAUCCAAUUGGAGGGCAAGUUCAAUGGCAUUGGGGAUUCCAGGGGGAGUGGGGAUCGAGGGCCGCAGCGAGAUAAGGGAACUUCGAUAAGUUUAAUUUAUUCGACCCCACUGCCAUCUGUUGCGAUAUAACCAACACUUAUUUAAUCAACGCGAUAGGAAUAGGCUCGUGCUGUAAUUAUAGAUCGGAUUAAAAACCAUCGAACAUGGAGGCUCAAUUCAAAAUGAGCAUUCGCAGACAUUUUGCCACAAACAUGUCACAUUAGAACGCCCAAUUUCACGAGAACAAUUAUGACCUAGCACCGCCGAAGGUGAUCCUAAUAAUUGCACCAAUAUGCUUCGGUAAUCGUUUUGAGGCCAGACUCUCCCAGGACUCGAAGGCCGCCUUCCCGAAACUACAAAAAAGCACAUUAUCACUUCCCAUUGGACCGAGAUGACUUCAUUUUCGUGCCAUAUGCCUGUGCCGGUGCUGUACUUGUGGUUCCACCCGCUCCUCUUAAGUCGCUGCCAUGAUUUACUACAAGCAGAUGAUUUAAUAUAACCGCAUAUCUGGAUAUAGAAACACGCACACACCCGGCCAGAGUGCACUUCAGAUGCAUUCGACUGUAUUCGACUGCACUGGAAACAGGAACCCGUUGAACUGGCCCACAAACAGAGGCAGACACCCCACACAUGUUGUCAGUGAAGCGUCCGUUUUGGAGGAAAAACGGGACGACUGUUAAAGGGCCUCCAUCUUGAAAACAGACGCCUCUAAGAGGCGGCUCCGCAAGACGAUAACUCAAUUGAAUAUUUCAACAAAAAAGCAAUUUACAAAUGGGUUAAUACUUUUAACUAUACUAAUACUGUAACUAAAGGGUAAUUUAAAUAUAAUUAUAGAUUGUGAUCGGCUAGAAUUUAAAAUAUUUCCUUCUAUUUAUUAACAUUAUAUUAUGAUCGAGAAAAUAUUUAAUAAAUCGUUUCUCCUGGGUUAAAAUCAAAAAAAUUUCAUAUUACAUUAUUUCGAUUUCCUUAGCUAUCAACCAAGUUAACUAGUGGAAUAGUUGGGGAGAAAUUGUUUACAUUUGGUUGGCAUAUGGGUAGAAAUUGGUUUUGAAAACAAAUAAAACUAAACAAAAUAAAAGCCAUCAAAAUGAACUUCUGGCAGUGCGUAAAUCUAGGCGUCAACGAGCUGCGACCUGACCGAAGUGCUCAUCAAGAUGCUGGCCAA
This is a non-coding RNA of Drosophila melanogaster (fruit fly), 1587 nucleotides long. The record is from Ensembl. NCBI's taxonomy places the organism in Eukaryota, Metazoa, Arthropoda, Insecta, Diptera, Drosophilidae.